Molecule: ribosomal RNA, 622 nt
Filed under: uncultured bacterium
Lineage: Bacteria
Description: bacterial SSU rRNA
Rfam family: Bacterial small subunit ribosomal RNA
Source: RNAcentral
AGAGUUUGAUCCUGGCUCAGAUUGAACGCUGGCGGCAGGCCUAACACAUGCAAGUCGAGCGGCAGCGGGAAAGUAGCUUGCUACUUUUGCCGGCGAGCGGCGGACGGGUGAGUAAUGCCUGGAAAUUGCCCAGUCGAGGGGGAUAACAGUUGGAAACGACUGCUAAUACCGCAUACGCCCUACGGGGGAAAGCAGGGGACCUUCGGGCCUUGCGCGAUUGGAUAUGCCCAGGUGGGAUUAGCUUGUUGGUGAGGUAAUGGCUCACCAAGGCGACGAUCCCUAGCUGGUCUGAGAGGAUGAUCAGCCACACUGGAACUGAGACACGGUCCAGACUCCUACGGGAGGCAGCAGUGGGGAAUAUUGCACAAUGGGGGAAACCCUGAUGCAGCCAUGCCGCGUGUGUGAAGAAGGCCUUCGGGUUGUAAAGCACUUUCAACGAGGAGGAAAGGUUGGUAGCUAAUAACUGCCAACUGUGACGUUACUCGCAGAAGAAGCACCGGCUAACUCCGUGCCAGCAGCCGCGGUAAUACGGAGGGUGCAAGCGUUGAUCGGAAUUACUGGGCGUAAAGCGCACGCAGGCGGUUGGAUAAGUUAGAUGUGAAAGCCCCGGGCUCAACCUGGG